GACGAACGCUGGCGGCGUGCUUAACACAUGCAAGUCGAACGGUAAGGCCCUUCGGGGUACACGAGUGGCGAACGGGUGAGUAACACGUGGGUGAUCUGCCCUGCACUUCGGGAUAAGCCUGGGAAACUGGGUCUAAUACCGGAUAGGACCACUGCCUGCAUGGGUGGUGGCGGAAAGCUUUUGCGGUGUGGGAUGGGCCCGCGGCCUAUCAGCUUGUUGGUGGGGUGAUGGCCUACCAAGGCGACGACGGGUAGCCGGCCUGAGAGGGUGAGCCGCCACACUGGGACGGGGAUACGGCCCAGAUGCCUAUGGGGGGCAGCGGUGGGGAAUAUGGCACAGUGGGCACAAGACUGAGGCAGCGACGCGGCGUGAGUGAUGACGGGCGUCGGGUUGUAAACCUCCUUCAGCACCGACGAAGCGUAAGUGACGGUAGGUGCAGAAGAAGGACCGGCCAACUACGUGCCAGCCGCCGCCGUAA
Molecule: ribosomal RNA, 478 nt
Filed under: uncultured bacterium
Lineage: Bacteria
Description: partial 16S ribosomal RNA
Rfam family: Bacterial small subunit ribosomal RNA
Source: RNAcentral